RNAcentral lists this ribosomal RNA (464 nucleotides) under uncultured bacterium. RNAcentral describes it as "partial 16S ribosomal RNA". It matches the Rfam family "Bacterial small subunit ribosomal RNA", at positions 339 to 795 of the family's 1533-position model. The record is from RNAcentral.
CUACGGGUUGCUCCAGUCGAGAAUCUUUCUCAAUGGACGAAAGUCUGAAGAUGCGACGCCGCGUGGGGGAUGAAGGCCUUCGGGUCGUAAACCCAUUUUAUUGGAGAGGAAAGUCAAGAAGUUAACAGCCUUUUGAUCUGACUUUAUUCAAUGAAUAAGCCACGGCUAAAUCCGUGCCAGCAGCCGCGGUAAUACGGAUGUGGCAAGCGUUACUCGGUUUGACUGGGUGUAAAGGGUCCGCAGGCGGCCAAAUAAGUGAAAGGUGAAAUCUUUCGGCUCAACCGGAAAACUGCCUUUCAAACUGUUUGGCUCGAGGAUGGAAGGGGAGAGUGGAACUGCCGGUGUAAAGGUGAAAUUUGUGGAUAUCGGUAGGAACGCCCGUGGAGAAGUCGGCUCUCUGGUCCAUUCCUGACGCUGAGGGACGAAAGCUAGGGGAGCGAACAGGAUUAGAUACCCCGGUAGUC